Molecule: ribosomal RNA, 460 nt
Filed under: uncultured bacterium
Lineage: Bacteria
Description: partial 16S ribosomal RNA
Rfam family: Bacterial small subunit ribosomal RNA
Source: RNAcentral
CCUACGGGAGACAGCAGUGAGGAAUAUUGGUCAAUGGGCGCGAGCCUGAACCAGCCAAGUCGCGUGCAGGAUGACUGCCCUACGGGUUGUAAACUUCUUUUAUACUGGACUAAAGUGCGGCACGUGUGCCUUUUUGUAUGUACUUUAUGAAUAAGGAUCGGCUAACUCCGUGCCAGCAGCCGCGGUAAUACGGAGGAUCCGAGCGUUAUCCGGAUUUAUUGGGUUUAAAGGGAGCGUAGAUGGUUGGUUAAGUCAGUUGUGAAAGUUUGGGGCUCAACCGUAAAAUUGCAAUUGAUACUGGCAGUCGUGAGUACAGUUGAGGUAGGCGGAAUACGUGGUGUAGCGGUGAAAUGCUUAGAGAUCACGAAGAACGCCGAUUGCGAAGGCAGCUUACUAAACUGCCACUGACAUUGAGGCUCGAAAGUGUGGGUAUCAAACAGGAUUAGAUACCCGGGUAGUC